RNAcentral lists this ribosomal RNA (194 nucleotides) under uncultured bacterium. RNAcentral's name for it is "partial 16S ribosomal RNA". It matches the Rfam family "Bacterial small subunit ribosomal RNA", at positions 326 to 540 of the family's 1533-position model. The record is from RNAcentral.
ACGCUCGACACCUACGGGAUGCAGCAGUGGGGAAUAUUGCACAAUGGGGGAAACCCUGAUGCAGCGACGCCGCGUGAAGGAAGAAGUAUCUCGGUAUGUAAACUUCUAUCAGCAGGGAAGAAAAUGACGGUACCUGACUAAGAAGCCCCGGCUAACUACGUGCCAGANCGCGGAGUAUGNGNGGCGNGCGAGAG